Molecule: ribosomal RNA, 406 nt
Filed under: uncultured bacterium
Lineage: Bacteria
Description: partial 16S ribosomal RNA
Rfam family: Bacterial small subunit ribosomal RNA
Source: RNAcentral
AUUGAACGCUGGCGGCAGGCCUAACACAUGCAAGUCGAACGAGUGGCGGACGGGUGAGUAAUAUCUGGGAAACUGCCCGAUGGAGGGGGAUAACUACUGGAAACGGUAGCUAAUACCGCAUACAAUAGGCUAUGCCCAGAUGGGAGUAGCUAGUAGGUGGGGUAACGGCUCACCAAGGCGACAAUCCCUAGCUGGUCUGAGAGGGUGACCAGCCACACUGGAACUGAGACACGGUCCAGACUCCUACGGGAGGCAGCAGUGGGGAAUAGUGCACAAUGGGCGCAAGCCUGAUGCAGCCAUGCCGCGUGUAUGAAGAAGGCCUUCGGGUUGUAAAGUACUAUCAGCGGGGAGGCGUUACUCGCAGAAGAAGCACCGGCUAACUCCGUGCCAGCAGCCGCGGUAAUUC